AGAGUUUGAUCCUGGCUCAGGAUGAACGCUAGCGGCAGGCCUAAUACAUGCAAGUCGGACGGGAUUGGGGGCUUGCCCCCAUGAGAGUGGCGCACGGGUGCGUAACACGUAUGUAACCUACCCUUAUCUGGGGGAUAGCCUCUCGAAAGAGAGAUUAACACCGCAUAAAAUCACAGUACGGCAUUGUACAAUGAUCAAAUAUUUAUAGGAUAGGGAUGGGCAUGCGGGACAUUAGCUAGUUGGCGGGGUAACGGCCCACCAAGGCUACGAUGUUUAGGGGAUCUGAGAGGAUGGCCCCCCACACUGGUACUGAGACACGGACCAGACUCCUACGGGAGGCAGCAGUAAGGAAUAUUGGUCAAUGGAGGCAACUCUGAACCAGCCAUGCCGCGUGCAGGAAGACAGCCCUAUGGGUCGUAAACUGCUUUUAUACCGGAAUAAACCCCUUUACGUGUAAAGGGUUGAAUGUACGGUAGGAAUAAGGAUCGGCUAACUCCGUGCCAGCAGCCGCGGUAAUACGGAGGAUCCAAGCGUUAUCCGGAUUUAUUGGGUUUAAAGGGUGCGUAGGCGGCCUGUUAAGUCAGGGGUGAAAUUUUCCGGCUCAACCGGGACAUUGCCUUUGAUACUGACGGGCUUGAAUGCAGCUGAGGUAGGCGGAAUGUGACAAGUUAGCGGUGAAAUGCAUAGAUAUGUCACAGAAGCACC
This 705-nucleotide ribosomal RNA is filed under the name uncultured Bacteroidota bacterium. RNAcentral's name for it is "bacterial SSU rRNA". It matches the Rfam family "Bacterial small subunit ribosomal RNA", at positions 8 to 710 of the family's 1533-position model. Lineage: Bacteria; Pseudomonadati; Bacteroidota. The record is from RNAcentral.